UGUAUCGGAUUUGUGCUUAGCUACAGCUGUUCAUGGUUUGGUAUACUGGCAUGGCCUCACCUUUACUGUUAGGUUAAGGUAACCUUAGGGUGUUUGUGAGACUGUGGCUUGAAGGAUUUGACAUACUGCACAGAUACAGUGCUAAGGACCAUUAUCUGUGGAGUGGGGAAGGAGAGCUGGGAAGAAUAUAAUGCAGAGUUACGUGCACCACAGACUUAUUAAGCUGUCUGUGAACAGAAUUUAAUUGGAAGACCACACAUUCUUGGACAGUGCAGCAACCAAGCCUGAUCCUGCUUUCAGAGGAAUUCAAGGCCAAUCUAAAUCGUUGCUUUGGGAAACAUAAGCUUAGGACCAUGGCGAACCAGCAACACGUUCUGAGACAAGCUUCUGGAGUCUCUUAAAUCUAUAGAAGUUUUUCUAUUGACUGCAUUCCUUUAAUUUCUGUCUAGGUUUCCUGAUUCAAUAGCCUAUCAACUGUGUAACUUUCCUUCCUUGUUAUGUACGUAGAAUGUGAUCAGAUACUUUAGUUUGUAAUCAUUACUUUCUAUACAUAAAUCACAUACAGAUGGUGUAUUUCAAUUUCUAAACUGUAGUGGUUUUUUUUUUCUGUUUCUGAAAACAAUGUAAAAUAUAAUAGCUUGCCUGUAUGAUUUUCAUAAAAGAGGAAAAAUAAAAAAAAAGAAACAAACA
This 690-nucleotide long non-coding RNA is filed under the name Anser brachyrhynchus (Pink-footed goose). RNAcentral's name for it is "lncRNA (ENSABRG00000009820.1)". Lineage: Eukaryota; Metazoa; Chordata; Aves; Anseriformes; Anatidae. The record is from RNAcentral.